GACGAACCGUGCGAACGUUGUUCGGAAUCACUGGGCUUAAAGGGCGCGUAGGCGGACCGGCGAGUCAGGGGUGAAAGCCCGCGGCCCAACCGCGGAAGUGCCCCUGAUACCGCCGGCCUUGAGGGGGAUAGGGGCGUGCGGAACUUCGGGUGGAGCGGUGAAAUGCGUAGAUAUCCGAAGGAACACCGGUGGCGAAGGCGGCACGCUGGGUCCCUACUGACGCUGAGGCGCGAAAGCGUGGGGAGCAAACAGG
Molecule: ribosomal RNA, 253 nt
Filed under: uncultured bacterium
Lineage: Bacteria
Description: partial 16S ribosomal RNA
Rfam family: Bacterial small subunit ribosomal RNA
Source: RNAcentral